AGAGUUUGAUCCUGGCUCAGAUUGAACGCUGGCGGCAUGCCUAACACAUGCAAGUCGAACGGGGGUAGCAAUACCCUAGUGGCGGACGGGUGAGGAACGCGUAGGAAUUGGCCCACGAGUGGGGGACAACCUGGGGAAACCCAGGCUAAUACCGCAUACGCUCGCGAGAGGAAAGCGGGGGAUCUACGGACCUCGCGCUGGUGGACAAGCCUACGUCCGAUUAGCUAGUUGGCAGGGUAAAAGCCUACCAAGGCGACGAUCGGUAGCUGGUCUGAAAGGAUGAUCAGCCACACUGGGACUGAGACACGGCCCAGACUCCUACGGGAGGCAGCAGUGGGGAAUAUUGGACAAUGGGCGCAAGCCUGAUCCAGCAAUGCCGCGUGGGUGAAGACGGCCUGCGGGUUGUAAAGCCCUUUAAGCGGGGAGGAACGCCGGAACGCGAAUACCGUUUCGGACUGACGUUACCCGCAGAAUAAGCACCGGCUAACUCCGUG
Molecule: ribosomal RNA, 494 nt
Filed under: uncultured bacterium
Lineage: Bacteria
Description: bacterial SSU rRNA
Rfam family: Bacterial small subunit ribosomal RNA
Source: RNAcentral